Non-coding RNA from Balaenoptera acutorostrata (minke whale), 591 nucleotides. Lineage: Eukaryota; Metazoa; Chordata; Mammalia; Artiodactyla; Balaenopteridae. The record is from the annotation of a RefSeq genome assembly.
AUGGAGUUUGGGCUGAGCUGUGUUGUCCUUGUUGCUAUUUUACAAGGUGUCCAGUGUGAGGUGCAGCUGGUGGAGUCUGGGAGAGGCCUGAUGCAGCCAGGGGGGUCUCUGAGACUCUCUUGUGCAGCGUCUGGGUUCACCUUCAGUAGCUAUCCCAUGAGCUGGCUCCGCCAGGCUCCAGGGAAGGGGCUGGACAGGGUCUCAGUUAUUAGUAGUACUGGUGGUAGCACAUACUAUGCAGACUCUGUGAAGGGCCGAUUCACCAUCUCCAGAGACAACUCCAAGAACACGCUGUAUCUGCAAAUGAACUACCUGAGAACUGAGGACACGCCUGUGUAUUACGGUGUGAAAGCAAAAGCAUACAUUUCCUCCUUCUACCAAUUCCUCGCAAAUAUUGGGUCUUGGUCUACAAAUAUCAACGCUGCCUGCUUUGCUCACUUCUGGGUCCAUUCCUAUGUCCUUGGUAGCAAUGGGGAUUCCUCAAUGUCCACCCUUAAGGAAGGAGCCCUGAAGCUCACGGUGUUCGUGCAGACACUCAGUUGUGCACAGGAAAAAGGCAGGUCAGGCUACUGGCCAGGUCAGCAGUGCUAG